RNAcentral lists this ribosomal RNA (156 nucleotides) under Brassica napus (rape). Its description in RNAcentral is "rRNA 5_8S_rRNA". It matches the Rfam family "5.8S ribosomal RNA". Rfam says of the family: 5.8S ribosomal RNA (5.8S rRNA) is a component of the large subunit of the eukaryotic ribosome. It is transcribed by RNA polymerase I as part of the 45S precursor that also contains 18S and 28S rRNA. The record is from RNAcentral. Lineage: Eukaryota; Viridiplantae; Streptophyta; Magnoliopsida; Brassicales; Brassicaceae.
GACUCUUGGCAACGGAUAUCUCGGAUCUCGCAUCGAUGAAGAUCGUAGCAAAAUGCGAUACUUGGUGUGAACUGCAGAAUCCCGUGAACCAUUGAGUCUUUGAACGCAAGUUGUGCCCCAAGCCUUAUGGCCGAGGGCACGUCUGCCUGGGUGUCA